RNAcentral lists this small RNA (117 nucleotides) under Macaca fascicularis (crab-eating macaque). RNAcentral describes it as "Metazoan signal recognition particle RNA (ENSMFAG00000055931.1)". It matches the Rfam family "Metazoan signal recognition particle RNA". Rfam says of the family: The signal recognition particle (SRP) is a universally conserved ribonucleoprotein. It is involved in the co-translational targeting of proteins to membranes. The record is from Rfam by way of RNAcentral. Lineage: Eukaryota; Metazoa; Chordata; Mammalia; Primates; Cercopithecidae.
GCUGGGUGUGGUGGCUCACGCCUGUAAUCCCAACACUUUGGGAAGCUGAGGCGGGUGGAUCACCUGAGGUCAGGAGUUCAAGACCAGCCUGACCAACAUGGAGAAACCCCGCCUCUA